UGGGAACCUUCCCUAUGGUUCGGAAUAGCCCAGGGAAACUUGGGGUAAUACCGAAUAAGCCCUUCGGGGGAAAGAUUUAUCGCCAUUGGAUGGGCCCGCGUCGGAUUAGCUAGUUGGUGGGGUAACGGCCCACCAAGGCGACGACGGGUAGCCGGCCUGAGAGGGUGACCGGCCACACUGGGACUGAGACACGGCCCAGACUCCUACGGGAGGCAG
This 216-nucleotide ribosomal RNA is filed under the name uncultured bacterium. Its description in RNAcentral is "partial 16S ribosomal RNA". It matches the Rfam family "Bacterial small subunit ribosomal RNA", at positions 118 to 351 of the family's 1533-position model. The record is from RNAcentral.